RNAcentral lists this ribosomal RNA (305 nucleotides) under uncultured bacterium. RNAcentral describes it as "bacterial SSU rRNA". It matches the Rfam family "Bacterial small subunit ribosomal RNA", at positions 333 to 637 of the family's 1533-position model. The record is from RNAcentral.
UGUGCCUACGGGGCGCAGCAGUGAGGAAUAUUGGUCAAUGGGCGGAAGCCUGAACCAGCCAAGUCGCGUGAGGGAAUAAGGCCCUACGGGUCGUAAACCUCUUUUGUCGGGGAGCAAAAGACGCCACGCGUGGCGUUCCGAGAGUACCCGAAGAAAAAGCAUCGGCUAACUCCGUGCCAGCAGCCGCGGUAAUACGGAGGAUGCGAGCGUUAUCCGGAUUUAUUGGGUUUAAAGGGUGCGCAGGCGGAAGAUCAAGUCAGCGGUAAAAUUGAGAGGCUCAACCUCUUCGAGCCGUUGAAACUGGU